AUUUCUUCGGAAUGAAGAUUGAGUGACUGAGUGGCGGACGGGUGAGUAACGCGUGGGUAACCUGCCUCAUACAGGGGGAUAACAGUUAGAAAUGACUGCUAAUACCGCAUAAGACCACAGCACCGCAUGGUGCAGGGGUAAAAACUCCGGUGGUAUGAGAUGGACCCGCGUCUGAUUAGGUAGUUGGUGGGGUAACGGCCUACCAAGCCGACGAUCAGUAGCCGACCUGAGAGGGUGACCGGCCACAUUGGGACUGAGACACGGCCCAAACUCCUACGGGAGGCAGCAGUGGGGAAUAUUGCACAAUGGGGGAAACCCUGAUGCAGCGACGCCGCGUGAGCGAUGAAGUAUUUCGGUAUGUAAAGCUCUAUCAGCAGGGAAGAAAAUGACGGUACCUGACUAAGAAGCACCGGCUAAAUACGUGCCAGCAGCCGCGGUAAUACGUAUGGUGCAAGCGUUAUCCGGAUUUACUGGGUGUAAAGGGAGCGUAGACGGAGUGGCAAGUCUGAUGUGAAAACCCGGGGCUCAACCCCGGGACUGCAUUGGAAACUGUCAAUCU
This 559-nucleotide ribosomal RNA is filed under the name uncultured Lachnospiraceae bacterium. RNAcentral's name for it is "bacterial SSU rRNA". It matches the Rfam family "Bacterial small subunit ribosomal RNA", at positions 72 to 642 of the family's 1533-position model. Lineage: Bacteria; Bacillati; Bacillota; Clostridia; Lachnospirales; Lachnospiraceae. The record is from RNAcentral.